Molecule: ribosomal RNA, 314 nt
Filed under: Staphylococcus aureus
Lineage: Bacteria; Bacillati; Bacillota; Bacilli; Caryophanales; Staphylococcaceae
Description: partial 23S ribosomal RNA
Rfam family: Bacterial large subunit ribosomal RNA
Source: RNAcentral
UAGCGAAAGCGAGUCUGAAUAGGGAGUUUAGUAUUUGGUCGUAGACCCGAAACCAGGAGAUCUACCCUUGGUCAGGUUGAAGUUCAGGUAACACUGAAUGGAGGACCGAACCGACUUACGUUGAAAAGUGAGCUGAUGAACUGAGGGUAGCGGAGAAAUUCCAAUCGAACCUGGAGAUAGCUGGUUCUCUCCGAAAUAUCUUUAGGGCUAGCCUCAAGUGAUGAUUAUUGGAGGUAGAGCACUGUUGGGACGAGGGGCCCCUCUCGGGUUACCGAAUUCAGACAAACUCCGAAUGCCAAUUAAUUUAACUUGGG